CCUACGGGUGGCUGCAGUGGGGAAUAUUGGACAAUGGGCGAAAGCCUGAUCCAGCCAUGCCGCGUGUGUGAAGAAGGCCUUCGGGUUGUAAAGCACUUUCAGUGGGGAAGAAAGCCUUGGGGCUAAUACCCUCGAGGAAGGACAUCACCCACAGAAGAAGCACCGGCUAACUCCGUGCCAGCAGCCGCGGUAAUACGGAGGGUGCGAGCGUUAAUCGGAAUUACUGGGCGUAAAGCGCGCGUAGGCGGUCUGAUAAGCCGGUUGUGAAAGCCCCGGGCUCAACCUGGGAACGGCAUCCGGAACUGUCAGGCUAGAGUGCAGGAGAGGAAGGUAGAAUUCCCGGUGUAGCAGUGAAAUGCGUAGAGAUCGGGAGGAAUACCAGUGGCGAAGGCGGCCUUCUGGACUGACACUGACGCUGAGGUGCGAAAGCGUGGGUAGCAAACAGGAUUAGAUCCCCUUGUAGUC
RNAcentral lists this ribosomal RNA (465 nucleotides) under Vreelandella stevensii. Its description in RNAcentral is "partial 16S ribosomal RNA". It matches the Rfam family "Bacterial small subunit ribosomal RNA", at positions 338 to 795 of the family's 1533-position model. The record is from RNAcentral. Lineage: Bacteria; Pseudomonadati; Pseudomonadota; Gammaproteobacteria; Oceanospirillales; Halomonadaceae.